This 253-nucleotide ribosomal RNA is filed under the name uncultured bacterium. Its description in RNAcentral is "partial 16S ribosomal RNA". It matches the Rfam family "Bacterial small subunit ribosomal RNA", at positions 524 to 776 of the family's 1533-position model. The record is from RNAcentral.
UACGUAGGUGGCUAGCGUUGUCCGGAUUCAUUGGGCGUAAAGGGUGCGUAGGCGGCGCGGUAAGUCGGGUGUGAAAUCUUGGAGCUUAACUCCGAAACUGCAUUCGAUACUGCCGUGCUUGAGGACUGGAGAGGAGACUGGAAUUUACGGUGUAGCGGUGAAAUGCGUAGAUAUCGUAAGGAAGACCAGUGGCGAAGGCGGGUCUCUGGACAGUUCCUGACGCUGAAGCACGAAGGCCAGGGGAGCAAACGGG